Molecule: ribosomal RNA, 253 nt
Filed under: uncultured bacterium
Lineage: Bacteria
Description: partial 16S ribosomal RNA
Rfam family: Bacterial small subunit ribosomal RNA
Source: RNAcentral
UACAGAGGUCCCAAGCGUUGUUCGGAUUCAUUGGGCGUAAAGGGUGCGUAGGCGGCGCGGUAAGUCGGGUGUGAAAUUUCGGGGCCUAACUCCGAGACUGCAUUCGAUACUGCCGUGCUUGAGGACUGGAGAGGAGACUGGAAUUUACGGUGUAGCGGUGAAAUGCGUAGAUAUCGUAAGGAAGACCAGUGGCGAAGGCGGGUCUCUGGACAGUUCCUGACGCUGAGGCACGAAGGCCAGGGGAGCAAACGGG